This 497-nucleotide ribosomal RNA is filed under the name uncultured bacterium. RNAcentral's name for it is "partial 16S ribosomal RNA". It matches the Rfam family "Bacterial small subunit ribosomal RNA", at positions 28 to 507 of the family's 1533-position model. The record is from RNAcentral.
GAUGAACGCUGGCGGCGUGCCUAAUACAUGCAAGUCGAGCGAACGGACGAGAAGCUUGCUUCUCUGAUGUUAGCGGCGGACGGGUGAGUAACACGUGGAUAACCUACCUAUAAGACUGGGAUAACUUCGGGAAACCGGAGCUAAUACCGGAUGAUAUUUUGAACCGCAUGGUUCAAAAGUGAAAGACGGUCUUGCUGUCACUUCUAGAUGGAUCCGCGCUGCAUUAGCUAGUUGGUAAGGUAACGGCUUACCAAGGCAACGAUGCAUAGCCGACCUGAGAGGGUGAUCGGCCACACUGGAACUGAGACACGGUCCAGACUCCUAAGGGAGGCAGCAGUAGGGAAUCUUCCGCAAUGGGCGAAAGCCUGACGGAGCAACGCCGCGUGAGUGAUGAAGGUCUUCGGAUCGUAAAACUCUGUUAUUAGGGAAGAACAUAUGUGUAAGUAACUGUGCACAUCUUGACGGUACCUAAUCAGAAAGCCACGGCUAACUACGUG